RNAcentral lists this long non-coding RNA (328 nucleotides) under Carassius auratus (goldfish). RNAcentral describes it as "lncRNA (ENSCARG00000015003.1)". The record is from RNAcentral. Lineage: Eukaryota; Metazoa; Chordata; Actinopteri; Cypriniformes; Cyprinidae.
AUGGGUGGUGAUAUGUACAUUUCCAGCUUUUAUCUUCCCCUUGUUCAGAACAGAAGACAGUUUCUCUUCAGACUUGAUACAGUCUCUCCACAUCGGAGUCCCAGUCUUGUUUUUGCAAAACCUCUGCAACAAUGGCACAAUUUGGCCAUCUGGUGGCAGUGUUGAGCCUUUGCCUGCUGGCUGCAGUGGUGAAUUCUCAACGUGAGUGUUCAAUCAGUUUUCUCUUCAUUGUAGCUCAUACAGCCCUAUGACCUUCUAGUCUUUAUCAGAAUGAUCAGCAUUAGGAUUUUUUCAAAAUUCAGAUUUUAGUGCUUGCCAUGUCAUUUAA